Long non-coding RNA from Columba livia (rock pigeon), 3023 nucleotides. RefSeq lists it as uncharacterized. NCBI's taxonomy places the organism in Eukaryota, Metazoa, Chordata, Aves, Columbiformes, Columbidae. The transcript has 3 exons. The record is from RefSeq and is a predicted model, not a curated record.
GGGAAAACCCCGGCUGGGCGGAACACGCCAGCCGGCGCGGUCCCAGUCGGCCGCGGCCGGGCUGCCCGCGCUGCCGGUGGCUCCUUCUGCCCCGGCACGGUCCCCCUGGGGCCGGGGGCAGCGGUACCCACUGCGUCCCACCCGCAACUUUCCCCGCCCCCGUGGAUGGCUUUCGUCGGAGACCUGCAGGGCAUCCGGGCGCUUGACACCUGUCUCCCAUGGGCCGCCCCCGCGCCUAAGUUUGCGGGCGCCCGGCGCCCCCCCGCCGCCGCAGGGCGGGCUUGAAGCCGCGGCGGGGGCCGCGGUGCCCAUGGCCGGGCGUCCCGCCGCGCCGAGGUGUCCGUGCGCGCCGCCCCGUCCCGCCCGCCGGGGAGCCGCCGCGCCCGCCGGAGCGCCGCAGCGGGGGCGCUGAGGGAGGCAGCCCCCGGCACACCGCCACCGGCUCGGCGCCAGCCGCCGUUGCCCACCGGGUUCCUGGCGGCGGCGGGGCCGCGGGAUCCGUCCGCGCCCGCUGCCCCCGUGUAGUUGCCGAGUCGUCUGUCCUCGGCGGCGGCCCGCGGGUGACAUGCAGUCCCUCAUCUCUCCGGUGACCAAGGCUAUCCUGGUGGCUUUGUUCAUCUUCGCCAUCCUGCUGAUCCUCUACGUGAUUCUGUGGUACAUCUGCCGCGAUGUGGAUUGCGACCAUGGGAUCUGAGCCGCGCCGCGGGGCCAGGUCUUAGGGAGCCGGGAUUCACCCCGCGGGGCCGGGAGCGGCAGCGGGAGCCCCGCCAGGCAGCAGCCGCCGCCACCGCGGCCGGAGCGGAGGAAGGGGAAGGAAAAAGAGGGGGAAAAAAAAAAGAAAAGAAAAAAAAAAGAGACAGAGGAAAAAGCCGAGCCGAAAGAGCCCGGAGGACAACUGCAAUCAAGAAACCAACCUGAGCUUGACCUUCAGAGACCAGGGUGACCCGGGUACUGUGCCAGCUUCCCAUUCUCAGAUGAACUGUGCAAAACUGCAUCUGUCCAUCUGCCUAACAGCAAAUGCUCCCUGAAGAACCAUGAAGAUGCUGACUGUGUUUGCAUGGGCAUCCUCUUAGCUCACACGCCUCGUCUGUGCCCUCAGUGCCAAAUUCACGGCCAGAACCUGCUCCCUCCCGCUCUCAGCUGGAGCAUUGGGCAGGUUAGCCAAGGCUGCAGAAGCAGAAGUCUGGAUUUGGGGGGUCUGUGCUCUCUCUUCCCUGUCUUAAUUAAGACAGCAGCCAUCAAGCAAUGUCAUUAGCUACUUGCCCUUUCCCAGCCUGGAAAAGUCAUCUACGGAGCAAGAAGUGCCACUGAACCAAGUGAGGACUGACAAAGAAGUGCAGACAGUUCCUGGCUUUGCCAAAAACAUCUUGCUUACCAAACAGCACAACCUUGGCAGGCUGAGAGACCUUUAGCAGAGAGGAACUGAGGAAGAGGAAAUCUGGGCUCAUUUUGCUGUGCGUGUCAGGCGGCAGCCAAAACCUGAGUAGCUGUGCUAACAUGUGAAAUGUCAUCUGAUAAAAUGGUGCUGCCAAAGAGGCACAACUUGGAGGAGGAAUAGCCUCAAUACAUUCUUUUUCUUGGUUUUGGUUCCAGAAGAUGCCUCUGUCUCAUGACUGUAAUAAUACUCAAUCAUCAUGCUAUAAUUAAGGGCUUUUCAUGUAAUCAUCUGUAGAACUGAUUACUUUGGGCUAUACCCUGCUCAUGCUGAGCUUCCUGGCAAAAUUCCCACUGACAUCAGUAAGAGAAUGAUCAGACCUUUCCUCAGAAGUUUACCACUAUUGUUUGACAAUACCAUGCUUUUCAGACAGUUGACAGUGGGGAUUAAAUAUUUAGACUCUUAAUUAUCGGAAUAUUAAAAUUACACCAUAAAGACAGCAGGCUCUUUCUCAGAAGCCUGAGUUUGUUCUGGUCGUUAUUGCUUCCAAGGAGUACGACACCAAAGCAAGGCAUGAACAGGUGCUGUGAGGUCACUUACUUGUUGGUGGAAAGAAGGAAGCACCUCAAAGGAAGCAGUCAUCUUCUGCAGGUCUUCACAAGUGCCUCUCUCUGUCUGCUGGCCAUGCGGCAAAGCUGAGGCAAUUAGAUUGCUCCUUUCGGCCCUUCCAGGACUCAGACACCUAAAAUUUCAUUGAGGUAAUAGAUACCUCAGUGAGGUAUCUAAAGUAGAUGGAUGAGAUUCCAUCCUGAAUACUUGAGACUUUGCUGUUAAUGAUUGCAAGGAAAAAAACCCCAAAAUAUCAGUAAGUAAAGAUGGUGACUACUGAAAACUGAAGUAGAGGAAGUAUCAGUUAAAAUUUGCAUCUAAGACACCAUUUGAAAACAAUCUAAGACCUACAGCCUUUUGUUAAUCUUUUCAUUUCUCCUUCACUUCAUGUCCCAUCAGCCUUCAGAAAAAAUAAUGUAUUAUAGUGUUGAAAGAACUUUUUCACAGCCUUUCUAUGAAGCCAUAGUCAUGAACCAUGGGGGUUUUAAAAUAAUUUUAACACUCUAAGAAAAAGUAGUGGGAUCAAUAAGACCAUGAUGUUAACCCAUCAGUUGUUCCCCACUUAGUCUAGUUCUUUGCAUAGUGUUGUCUGAAAAAAAGACACAGGAGAAUUUAUUCUCAUAGCUUGAGUGUACAUUGAUUGAGAUUACUAUACUAGAAAACCUGAGAAAGCAUGGUAUAUUUAUAUACAGGUCAUGUAAAUACAAUGUGGAGAAGUUUAAUAUUUUAAUGUUGCAAAGGGCUUUCAUUAAUGCUGUAGUUCUGAGAGAAGGAUGUAAAGCAACAUAAAGGAAUUGAGAUUUGAUUUUUACUGAGAUAAGUUGAAGGAGUAAUUCAUCUUUACUAAAUGUCAGCAUUUCUUCUUUCGUGUCUUUAUGUGAUGCUCUUUCUAUCACUCCAUGCUUGGUUGAGAACAAUGUACAUUAGGAACGAAUCCUUCACAGAUGUGACUUCAUGAUGUUCUGUUUAUUAUUUAUGUUUGCAUAAUUCCAUGUGUUAAUAAAAAAUAAAUAAUUCACCCAAGAUACAUAAAAUUAAA